RNAcentral lists this ribosomal RNA (729 nucleotides) under uncultured eukaryote. Its description in RNAcentral is "SSU rRNA". It matches the Rfam family "Eukaryotic small subunit ribosomal RNA", at positions 670 to 1426 of the family's 1831-position model. The record is from RNAcentral.
CGGGUGCACUGAUCCAGCCGGGCCUUUCCCUCUGUGGAACCCCAUGGCCUUCACUGGCUGUGGUGGGGAAACAGGACUUUUACUUUGAAAAAAUUAGAGUGCUCCAGGCAGGCCUAUGCUCGAAUACAUUAGCAUGGAAUAAUAGAAUAGGACGUGUGGUUCUAUUUUGUUGGUUUCUAGGACCGCCGUAAUGAUUAAUAGGGACAGUCGGGGGCAUCAGUAUUCAAUUGUCAGAGGUGAAAUUCUUGGAUCUAUUGAAGACUAACUACUGCGAAAGCAUUUGCCAAGGAUGUUUUCAUUGAUAAGGAACGAAAGUUAGGGGAUCGAAGACGAUCAGAUACCGUCGUAGUCUUAACUAUAAACUAUGCCGACUAGGGAUCGGACGAUGUUAUUCUUUGACGCGUUCGGCACCUUUCGAGAAAUCAAAGUGCUUGGGCUCCAGGGGGAGUAUGGUCGCAAGGCUGAAACUUAAAGAAAUUGACGGAAGGGUACCACCAGGGGUGGAACCUGCGGCUUAAUUUGACUCAACACGGGGAAACUCACCAGGUCCAGACACAGUGAGGAUUGACAGAUUGAGAGCUCUUUCUUGAUUCUGUGGGUGGUGGUGCAUGGCCGUUCUUAGUUGGUGGAGUGAUUUGUCUGCUUAAUUGCGAUAACGAACGAGACCUUAACCUGCUAAAUAGCCCGUACUGCUUUGGCAGUUCGCCGGCUUCUUAGAGGGACUAUCGG